This 253-nucleotide ribosomal RNA is filed under the name uncultured bacterium. Its description in RNAcentral is "partial 16S ribosomal RNA". It matches the Rfam family "Bacterial small subunit ribosomal RNA", at positions 524 to 776 of the family's 1533-position model. The record is from RNAcentral.
UACGUAGGGUGCGAGCGUUAAUCGGAAUUACUGGGCGUAAAGCGUGCGCAGGCGGUUUUGUAAGCCAGAUGUGAAAUCCCCGGGCUUAACCUGGGAAUGGCAUUUGGGACUGCAAGGCUUGAGUGCGGCAGAGGAGACUAGAAUUCCUGGUGUAGCAGUGAAAUGCGUAGAUAUCAGGAGGAAUUCCGAUGGCGAAGGCAGGUCUCUGGGCUGACACUGACGCUCAUGCACGAAAGCGUGGGGAGCAAACAGG